This is a long non-coding RNA of Canis lupus familiaris (dog), 656 nucleotides long. RefSeq lists it as uncharacterized. The transcript is spliced from 3 exons. The record is from RefSeq and is a predicted model, not a curated record. Lineage: Eukaryota; Metazoa; Chordata; Mammalia; Carnivora; Canidae.
GGGCUCCAUGGGCGGCAGGAGGGCAGGUUCUGCCUAAGACCAUCCGUUUUGAUCCUAUUAAGGAGGCGGGGGCUGCCCAGGAGCCGGGUCUCCCUGACAGUUGUUCCUCUGUAUCCUUACGGAUUAACUUCUGUUGGGUUUUGCUCAUUCGGUCAUUGCCUGACAGGUGCACCUCCAUCCAACCAGUGUGCCACACGUAGCGACAGACACCCCGUAUGUGUCACCUUACUCGGUGCCGCCCGCACCCUUGGGAGGGAAGUACAGUUAUUCACAUCCUGCACACGAAGAACCAGCAGCACAGAGGGUCACCCGGGCACACACCAGCAAGUAGCAGAGCUGGGAUGCAGAUUAUUACCAUGAAAAUGAGGCUUCUGUUUCUAAGAAACUCUAAAAAUAUUUCUCACCUGCACCUACCAUGUUCUGCCACAUUAUAAUCUUGGUUACAGUUCUAAAAAUGUCAGAACAGAAGAUCGUGAACUGAAGAUGUGUCACAGACAAACACAUUUGAAAGACAAGUUUGACAUAGUGGACUGAGGGGGAAAAAAAUUCCAACUGUGAGAAAACUUGAUCAUGACCUACAGCCUAAAAAAAAAAAACUCAUGCUUUAUAAAAUACAAAAUUGUACGAGCACCAUGAUUAAAACUGCUGAUUCCUGG